GUCUCCAGCGCGCGCUGUUCCUGUUGCCAGGGAGCGCAAGAUGGCGGCGGCGCGGAGAGUGGGGAAGGAGCUGGAUGAGAUCAGGAGGUCAAGAUUCCGCUGCUUCCGGAAUAUUGAGGUGGAUCCAGCCAAUGUCCUCCUUUGGAAGUGGCUUCUGGUGCCGGAUGACCCACCUUACAAUCAAGGGGCAUUCCAGGUUGAGAUCAGCUUUCCAGGUGAUUACCCUUUGCACCCCCCCAAGGUAACUUUCAAGACUAAGAUCUACCAUCCCAAUGUGGACGAGACUGGCCGAGUGUGCUUGCCAAUCAUCAGUCCCAGGAACUGGAACCUUUCCACAAAAAUAGAACAAGUGAUUCAAGAACUUAUAGCAUUAGUGAAUAACCCUGACCCGGACCAUCCCUUGCGUGCUGAGUUGGCUGAGGAGUUCACCAUGGACCAUGAACGCUUCCUGGCCAAAGCAAAAGAACACACUCGCGAAUUCAGCGAAAAGCGGCCGAGUGAGUGACCUUCUCAGCCCAACAAAUGCCCACCAAAACUUCUCUGCCUAUCUGUUGUGAUAGCUAAUUGAAGAUCCACUCGUAUAAUUUCACAGUAGAUAACAUUGUUGCAGCUCUCCUGUUCAAGUUGCCUGGCCAUCUUAAUGGAAUGGAAUCAUAGUCCUCAUCUUUUAUGUAAUUUAUUUGUUGUUGUAGCUGUGUAUUUUAAGUAAUUUUGGACUUAUGGUAACACUAAUGUGAACCUAUCAUGGGGUUUUAUUAUCAGAAUUUGUUCAGAGUGGAUACAUAUAGUUUUCCAGAACUAUAUGUGAAAUAUAUAAGAAAGUCAAGAACUGUUCUUAAGUUUUGUUAAAGUACACCAGGACUAUGUGCAAACUAGGAAUCAUUAUUGCUUAGCUUGGAAUCUGUCUUCUGUGUGAGAAUUCUCUGGGAUAGUGUGGGCAACUGUGCCCCCCCCCCCCCCCGGAUAUUAUUAGAACUCUUCUAGUCCCAAUAUUUGACUAGACUGCCCAGACUUGCAGGGAAUUGUAGGCCAAACAUACCAACAUCUUUUACAUUACAGAAUUGUAGCACUACAGUUUUACUUUAACUACCACGACUGAAUCCUGAGGAAUCCUGCGAUUUGUAGCAUGAGUUUCUAAAGCUCUCUGUUUAGGACAAAGGGGGCAGUAUUCAUUCCUUAUUGGUUCAAGUUUCUAAUUCUAAUGUAAUUUAUCUUAAAAACACAAAACAGUGUAUGUGUGAAGGGGUAAAGGUAAGAAAGAGUAUUUUGUCUCAUCCAGAAUAUCUUUGUGAUACGGUAUUAUGAAGGUGUUCUUCACUUCUUUGUUUGCUGUAGGGUCGUAAAGUAAUAGAAGACAAAUUGAAUGGUCACAUCAUGUCUACUGCCUAGGUGUGGGAUGAUGGCCUAAAGCCUUACAUAUUUACUAUUUCUUGUAAAGUUUUAAACUGGCAAGGAUAGGGGAAUCUCACAAUCUCCUUCGGUGUCCUAUUUGUUCCUAGCCUAAUGUUUAUUCCCAGCAGUCUGAUUCUAACUGCAUUGCCUCAGAGUUCAGUGGCACUUCUUCAUGUAGAGCUGCAGCUUCUUGCUUGCACAUGAUUUAACAUUAUGAGACUUACUUCUUAGUAAAUAUACAGAGAAUUAGACUGAGUUCUGGGUUAUCUGUAUUUUACCUUCAGCGAGAGUUGUCUCCCAUGUAGCCUUCAUAUUUUGGUGCAAGGGAUUUGAACCGAAGUUUGCUCAAAUGAAAUAUAGGUGAAUUGCCUUGACUUGCUAUAGUUUUGUUUUAAUGGAUUUGGUGAUCUGCAUGGAGACAUGUGAUAGCAUCAAGGGCUGGAGAAAGAUUUGCCAAGGGAACAAGAGAUGGAAUUGGAGGCAGUAAUUGCUGCAGCGACUUGCUUGUUCCAAGUUAUGCCUGUUAAGAACAGACUGUCCAUAUGCUUCCCUGGAGGCUGGAUUGCUGAAGAUGAGGGUUAGCAUCUACAUGAAAGAUAGCCAUUUCUUUUCUGGACAUCCCAAAAGCCAGAUAUCUGUGAAUAGUAGAUGUUUAGAGUUGAGGAAACUAGAGACACUCUACAUAAGGUUCAUCCCUGUUGAUUCUUCCUAAAAAAACAAACAGAACCCUGAACUUGAACCCUCUUAAUCCUUAUAGUGUACAUAGAAACAUUAAAAUAUGGUUCCAAGGACAUCAUAAUGGGCGUGAUUUUCUUUACCAAAUAUACAUACGCUAUAGCCCCCUCCCCCCUUUGUGGGAAAGCUUGAUUCCACAACUCCCGCUAUAAUGAGCUCUCCUCCGCAAAUUACCUGCUUCUCUCUUUUAUCUCACCCGAGUUUUUAAUUAGUUUGUCUUUUAAUCAUGACAUGUAGCCCGCCCAUUGUUAUUGUGCUUCCGUUUACUGAAAUUUUCAUAUUGUUAUGUAUUCAUACGUUUUAUGUAACUAUUACGUUAUUGUUUAUUGUUCGCGUUUUCGGUUUGUGUUUUGGUUUUUCUUUAUUGUAAUUGUUAUUUGGGCUUGGCCUCAUGUAAGCCAUUCCAACUCCCCAUUGGGGAGAUGGUGGUGGGGUAUAAAUAAAGAUGAUGAUGAUGAUGA
Molecule: RNA transcript, 2588 nt
Organism: Anolis sagrei ordinatus
Lineage: Eukaryota; Metazoa; Chordata; Lepidosauria; Squamata; Anolidae
Gene name: ubiquitin-conjugating enzyme E2 L3
Source: RefSeq, a predicted model, not a curated record